Molecule: long non-coding RNA, 2107 nt
Filed under: Homo sapiens (human)
Lineage: Eukaryota; Metazoa; Chordata; Mammalia; Primates; Hominidae
Description: HSALNT0076869
Source: RNAcentral
GAAGAGAAACUGACUGGGCAACAUGUUAUUCAGGUGGGUGCCACAGUUAUCCCCAUUAUAUGCACAAAAUGAUGAAGACUUGGGGUUAAUGAGCGAUUUGCCCAAGCUCACCUGAAUAUUAAGACUGAGUCAAAUGUUAGUCUGGUCUGACUUCAAUGCUUGCCUUGUUCAUGAGCACCAUGCAUUGCCUCUCCUAUGCAGUUAAGCAGGUAGACAGGUGAGAGAAGAGCCCGUGUGAUAUCGGGGGAAAUUCACCCCGAUAUUUCAUGUAGGUUCUUUUCUGUUUUCCCUGAGUGUUGGCCGGUCUGAGAAAUAAAGGAAAAGAGUACAAAAGAGAGAAAUUUUAAAGCUGGGUGUCCAGGGGAGACAUCACAUGUCGGCAGGUUCCGUGAUGCCCCGCAAGCUGCAAAACCAACAAGUUUUUAUUAGUGAUUUUCAAAAGGGGAGGGAGUGUACGAAUAGGGUGUGGGUCACAGAGAUCACAUGCUUCACAAGGUAAUAAAAUAUCACAAGGCAAAUGGAGGCAGGGCAAGAUCACAGGACCACAGGACCGGGGCGAAAUUAAAAUUGCUAAUGAAGUUUCGGGCACGCAUUGUCAUUGAUAACAUCUUAUCAGGAGAAAGGGUUUGAGAGCAGACAACCCAUCUGACCAAAAUUUAUUAGGCGGGAAUUUCCUUGUCCUGAUAAGCCUGGGAGCGCCACGCGAGCCCAGGGCUUAUUUCAUCCCUUAUCAACGACUGUAAAAGACAGCCGUCCCCAAAGCGGCCAUUUCAGAGGCCUCCCCUUAGGGAUGCAUUCUCUUUCUCAGGGAUGUUCUUUGCUGAGAAAAAGAAUUCAGCAAUAUUUCUCCUAUUUGCUUUUGAAAGAAGAGAAAUAUGGCUCUGUUCCACCCGGCCCACAGGCAGCCAGAGUUUAAGGUUAUCUCCCUUGUUCCCUGAAAUUGCUGUUAUCCUGUUUUUUUUUUCAAGGUGCCCAGGUUUCAUACUGUUUAAACAACUUGUGCAGUUAACGCAAUUAUCACAGGGUCCUGCAGGGACAUUCAUCCUCAGCUUACGAAGAUGACCGGAUUAAGAGAUUAAAGUAAAGACAGGCAUAGGAAAUCACAAGGGUAUUGAUUAGGGAAGUGAUAAGUGUCCAUGAAAUCUUCACAAUUUAUGUUCAGAGAUUGCAGUAAAGAUAGGCCCAAGAAAUUAUAGAAGUAUUAAUUUGGGGAACUAAUAAAUGUCCAUGAAAUCUUCACAAUUUAUGUUCUUCUGCCGUGGCUUCAGCUGGUCCUUCCGUUUGGGGUCCCUGACUUCCCGCAACACGUUUCUCUCUACUCACAGACUUCUGACCAAAUGUGUGUGCAGAGUUUCUACACCAGUUCUCCAACUCUCUGGAUACCAACCGCGUAUCCCACAAUUCCAUUCUGACACUACCUAGAGUUAGCGCAGAACCCACAGGUUAGGGGCUCAGUCCCACAAGACCACUCUCACUUCAGAUGCCAGUUGCAAGUCCUAGGUUGUCACCUGUAUUUUGACCAACCAGUUAGAAAUCAGGGUUUCCCAUGACCCUCUUCUUGAGUUUAAUUAUUUACUAGAACAACUCACAGAACUUAGAAAAACAGGUUUUUUUCUUUCCUUUUUAAGAGACAGGGCCUCGCUCUGUUGUCCAGGCUGGUGUGCAGUGGUGCAAUCAUUGCUCAUUGAAGCCUCAACCUCCAGGGCUCAAGUGAUUCUCCUGCUGCAGCCUCUCAAGUAGCUGGAAUUACAGGGUUCCCACCACCACAUUUGGCUAAUUUCUUUUAUUUUUUGUAUAGACGGGGUCCUCUUAUGUUGCCCAGGCUGGUCUCAAAUUCCUAGGCUCAAGUGAUUCCGCCCACCUCUGCCUCCCAAAGUGCUGGGAUUACGGGCAUGAGCCAGCGCAUCUGGCCACCUUAUUUUCUGUUACUGGCUCAGUGUAAUGGCUCCAUCUCAGGAACAGCCAAUGAAAGAGAUGCACAGGACAAGAGAUGGGACCUCAGUAUGUUGCCACGGCUGACCUUGAACUCCUGCACUCAAGGGAUUUUCCUGCCCUGGCCUCCCAAAGUAUUGGUAUUACAGGCAUGAGCCAUUGUGCCCACCGUCUC